RNAcentral lists this ribosomal RNA (880 nucleotides) under Dictyocoela sp. RNAcentral's name for it is "SSU rRNA". It matches the Rfam family "Microsporidia small subunit ribosomal RNA", at positions 17 to 853 of the family's 1311-position model. Lineage: Eukaryota; Fungi; Microsporidia. The record is from RNAcentral.
CCUGACGUGGACGCUAGUCUCACAGAUUUAGCCAUGCAUGUGUAAGCGAAGCUUUUAGUGGAGCGGUGAAAGGCUCAGUAACGGGCGAUUUAUUUGUUCUCCUGUGACGGACAACAUCGGGAAACUGAUGGGAAAACGUCUAAGUUGCAGUUAAUUGAUUGUGACGUAAACGAUUUUGUGCAGGAGAGUAAGAUGCCAUCCUAUCAGUUAGUAAGUAGGGUAAGGGCCUACUUAGACGAAGACGGGUACGGGGAAUGAGGGUUUGAUUCCGGAGAGGGAGCCUGAGAGAUGGCUACCAGGACCAAGGUCAGCAGCAGGCGCGAAAAUUAUCGAAGCCCGCCUAGGGGCGAUAGUGAGGAGACGUGUAUAACGAAGUACGUGUAAAGAACGUGCUAAUAACUGGAGGUCAAGUCUGGUGCCAGCAUCCGCGGUAAUUCCAGCUCCAGGGGUGUCUAUGAUGAUUGCUGCGAUUAAAAAGUCCGUAGUCAAUCUGACUGACUGACCUGCAAUGUGAUUGAUUAAAGAACGAGCAGGGUUAGGAAAGCAGAGAAUUAGGAGCGACCGAGGGCUAGAGUAUUGAAUGGCGAGAGGUGAAAUUUGAUGACCCAUUCAGGAGUGACAAAGGCGAAGGCACUAGUCAAGGGCGAAUCCGAUGAUCAAGGACGUAGGCUAGAGUUUCGAAAACGAUUAGAGACCGGAGUAGUUCUAGCAGUAAACUAUGCCGACGCCGUGGUAUUAUUUUAGUAUUGCGGAAGAGAAAUCAAGUAAGGCUUUGGGGAGAGUACGCGCGCAAGCGAUAAAUUUAAAGGAAAUUGACGGAGGAACACCACAAGGUAGUGGAGUGUGCGGCUUAAUUUGACUCAACGCGGGACAGCUUACC